CCUACGGGAGGCUGCAGUGAGGAAUAUUGGUCAAUGGGCGGAAGCCUGAACCAGCCAAGUAGCGUGCAGGAUGACGGCCCUACGGGUUGUAAACUGCUUUUAUACGGGAAUAACGCGCCUUACGUGUAGGGCUUUGCAUGUACCGUAUGAAUAAGGACCGGCUAAUUCCGUGCCAGCAGCCGCGGUAAUACGGAAGGUCCGGGCGUUAUCCGGAUUUAUUGGGUUUAAAGGGAGCGUAGGCCGGAUGUCAAGCGUGCUGUGAAAUGUCCGGGCUCAACCCGGGCCUUGCAGCGCGAACUGGCGUGCUUGAGUCUGCGUAAGGCAGGCGGAAUGCGUGGUGUAGCGGUGAAAUGCUUAGAUAUCACGAAGAACCCCGAUUGCGAAGGCAGCUUGCUGCAGCAGAACUGACGCUGAGGCUCGAAAGCGCGGGGAUCGAACAGGAUUAGAUACCCGGGUAGUC
RNAcentral lists this ribosomal RNA (460 nucleotides) under uncultured bacterium. RNAcentral's name for it is "partial 16S ribosomal RNA". It matches the Rfam family "Bacterial small subunit ribosomal RNA", at positions 338 to 795 of the family's 1533-position model. The record is from RNAcentral.